Molecule: ribosomal RNA, 557 nt
Filed under: uncultured Sordariomycetidae
Lineage: Eukaryota; Fungi; Ascomycota; Sordariomycetes
Description: SSU rRNA
Rfam family: Eukaryotic small subunit ribosomal RNA
Source: RNAcentral
GGAAGGGGUGUAUUUAUUAGAUUAAAAACCAAUGCCCUUCGGGGCUCUCUGGUGAUUCAUGAUAACUUCUCGAAUCGCAUGGCCUUGCGCCGGCGAUGGUUCAUUCAAAUUUCUUCCCUAUCAACUUUCGAUGUUUGGGUAUUGGCCAAACAUGGUUGCAACGGGUAACGGAGGGUUAGGGCUCGACCCCGGAGAAGGAGCCUGAGAAACGGCUACUACAUCCAAGGAAGGCAGCAGGCGCGCAAAUUACCCAAUCCCGACUCGGGGAGGUAGUGACAAUAAAUACUGAUACAGGGUUCUUUCGGAUCUUGUAAUUGGAAUGAGUACAAUUUAAAUCCCUUAACGAGGAACAAUUGGAGGGCAAGUCUGGUGCCAGCAGCCGCGGUAAUUCCAGCUCCAAUAGCGUAUAUUAAAGUUGUUGUGAUUAAAAAGCUCGUAGUUGAACCUUGGGCCUGGCUGGCCGGUCCGCCUCACCGCGUGUACUGGUCCGGCCGGGCCUUUCCCUCUGUGGAACCCUAUGCCCUUCACUGGGUGUAGCGGGGAACCAGGACUUUUAC